UUCUGGUUGAUCCCGCCGGAGGCUACCGCUAUUGGAGUUCGAUUAAGCCAUGCGAGUCGCGAGUCCUAGGGACUCGGCGUACCGCUCAGUAACACGUGGGUAACCUGCCCUAUGCAGGGGGAUAACCUCGGGAAACUGAGAAUAAUACCCCAUAGUUCACUACGCCUGGAACGGUGAGUGGAUGAAAGCUCCGGCGGCAUAGGAUGGGCCUGCGGCGUAUCAGGUUGUAGGGGGUGUAACGUACCCUCUAGCCCUCUACGCGUACGGGUGUUGGGAGACAUAGCCCGGAGAUGGAUUCUGAGACACGAAUCCAGACCCUACGGGGUGCAGCAGGCGCGAAAACUUGACAAUGCGAGAAAUCGUGAUCAGGGAACUCCAAGCGGCUGGGGUAAGACCCAGUCUUUUCUUGACUCUACAAAGGUCUUGGAAUAAGGGGUAGGUAAGGACGGUGCCAGCCGCCGCGGUAAUACCGGCGCCUCAAGUGGUAGUCGCUUUUAUUGGGCCUAAAACGUCCGUAGCCGGUCUGAUACAUUCGUGGGUAAAUCAACUAGCUCAACUAGUUGAAUUCUGCGAGGACGGUCAGACUUGGGACCGGGAGAGGUGUGGGGUACGCUCAGGGUAGGGGUAAAAUCCUGUCAUCCUAAGCGGACCACCUGUUGCGAAGGCGCCACACUAGAACGGAUCCGACGGUCAGGGACGAAGCCUAGGGGCACGAACCGGAUUAGAUACCCGGGUAGUCCUAGGUGUAAACGCUGUGGACUUGAUGUUGGGGGCGCUCCGAGCGCUUCCAGUGUCGAAGCGAAGGUGAUAAGUCCACUGCCUGGGAAGUACGGUCGCAAGGCUGAAACUUAAAGGAAUUGGCGGGGGAGCACCGCAACCUGAGGAUUGUGCGGUUUAAUUGGAUUCAACGCCGGGG
Molecule: ribosomal RNA, 916 nt
Filed under: uncultured archaeon
Lineage: Archaea
Description: bacterial SSU rRNA
Rfam family: Archaeal small subunit ribosomal RNA
Source: RNAcentral